UUAAGUUCAGCGGGUAUCCUUGUCUGAUUCGAGGUCAAAAAUCAGUCACCAUAAAGGCAACAUCAGUCUUAACGCCACCAAGCUAUGAACAGUUGCUGAAAUAUAUGUAAAUACCACUUCAUUAACCUAGCAUUAGCUUGCGGUCGUGCAGCAAGUUUUAAGGCGGGAGCAGCCAUUACAGCCAGUCCUCCACAACCCAU
Molecule: unclassified non-coding RNA, 200 nt
Filed under: Orbiliomycetes sp.
Lineage: Eukaryota; Fungi; Ascomycota; Orbiliomycetes
Description: partial internal transcribed spacer 2
Source: RNAcentral